GGACGGUAGCACAGAGGAGCUUGCUCCUUGGGUGACGAGAGGCGGACGGGUGAAUAAUCUAUGGGAAACUGCCCGAUGGAGGGGGAUAACUACUGGAAGCGGUAGGUAAUACCGCAUAACGUCUUCGGACCAAAGUGGGGGACCUUCGGGCCUCACACCAUCGGAUGUGCCCAGAUGGGAUUAGCUAGUAGGUGGGGUAAUGGCUCACCUAGGCGACGAUCCCUAGCUGGUCUGAGAGGAUGACCAGCCACACUGGAACUGAGACACGGUCCAGACUCCUACGGGAGGCAGCAGUGGGGAAUAUUGCACAAUGGGCGCAAGCCUGAUGCAGCCAUGCCGCGUGUAUGAAGAAGGCCUUCGGGUUGUAAAGUACUUUCAGUGGGGAGGAAGGCGUUAAGGUUAAUAACCUUAGCGAUUGACGUUACCCGCAGAAGAAGCACCGGCUAACUCCGUG
This 454-nucleotide ribosomal RNA is filed under the name uncultured bacterium. RNAcentral's name for it is "bacterial SSU rRNA". It matches the Rfam family "Bacterial small subunit ribosomal RNA", at positions 64 to 507 of the family's 1533-position model. The record is from RNAcentral.